AUAUGUUUCAAUUGGAAAUAUAUAUCGUAAUUUUUGAAAAACAAAAAUUUAAUUCAUCGGAGUACGUGUACUGCUCAACUGUUCGUGAAUAAAUGCAAAGUGGUAAACGUGCACGCGGACACUUCAAUACAUCGAAAGAGCGAUGUGGCCGCUGGCCAUAGACAUCUGAGCUACUACUUCGAUUCGACGUUGAAGGAGACGCACGGUACUUAAGAUAACUAG
Papilio xuthus (Asian swallowtail) is the source of this 222-nucleotide long non-coding RNA. RefSeq lists it as uncharacterized. The record is from RefSeq and is a predicted model, not a curated record. NCBI's taxonomy places the organism in Eukaryota, Metazoa, Arthropoda, Insecta, Lepidoptera, Papilionidae. The transcript is spliced from 3 exons.